This is a long non-coding RNA of Numida meleagris (helmeted guineafowl), 722 nucleotides long. RefSeq lists it as uncharacterized. NCBI's taxonomy places the organism in Eukaryota, Metazoa, Chordata, Aves, Galliformes, Numididae. The record is from RefSeq and is a predicted model, not a curated record. The transcript is spliced from 4 exons.
UAUCUUGCUGGAGAUUCCUGCAUAUCUGAGGUCUUCAGAUGGCUGUAGGAUUAAAGAGUGCUUGUGACAAGAGAAAACAGGUCUUCCUUUCUUGAUGCUGUGGCUGAAAUGGGCAGAACAAGAGAAGAGGUCCUCCGUCCUGCAUUAAGGGGUGCCAGAAGUGAAGAGUAGGGCAGGAAAACUGUUGAAAGAGAAGUGGAACUUCCUCCUGUUGGGAAGGCCAAGUGCUGAGGAUGUUACCUAGGAACUGCUGUGAUGCUACACGCCACUCCUUGCAGAAGCUGUCUAGGAGAAGUGGUGACCUCCUGUUGCUUCCUUCCUUCUGCCAGUGACUAGGCAGUGUAACCCUGAUGGAAUAGGAUUAUGAGUUAGUGCAACCAGGAGGGUGCUUGAGGGCUUUGGCAAACCCAGACCACACCACCUUGGCCCACCUCCAGUUUGAACUGAGAAUGGUCUACCACAGGCUGUCAAAUGAUGGAAUAACACAACUUAAGAGUGGAACAGAGGUUUAAAAUGCUGCUGUAGCUGACUGAAACCUCAAAAACUUGUGUGAUUCUUCCACUCCAAAGAUCUGCAAUCACUUCCAGCUGCCUAUCGUGCUGCUUGAUUUACUGCAGUGACUGGAAGAAGAUGAUUUUGGCUGUGGUGAAAUGUUUGUGCAUUAACUGUAAAAACAGAGGAGCUGAAGAAAGGACUCUCUGAAUGAUGCUUAGAGUGUGUAA